UUUUUUUUGUUUUUUUCUGUUUUUUUUUUUUUUUUUUUUUUUUUUUUUUUGCCUUAUAGGGCCGCAUCCGCAUCAUAUGGAGGUUCCCAGGCUAGGGGUACUAUGCCACAGCCACAGCAACACCAGAUCGGAGCCACAUCUGCAACCUAUACACCAUAGCUCACAGCAACGCCAGAUCCUUAACCCAUUGAACGAGGCCAGGAAUCAAACACGUAUCCUCAUGGAUCCUAGUUGGGUUUGUUAAUCACUCAGCCAUGAUGGGAACCCCAUCCAGGGGAUUUAAAAAAAAAAAAAAAUGAUGGGGACAGUGGCUACUCUUUUAGAUUGGGGUCAGAAAAGGCCUAUCUGAGGAGGUGAGAUUUGCACAGAAACCUGAAGGAAGUGAGGGGGGAGGGACAAUGGGAGCAGCUGGAAGCAAGACCCCAAGGUACAAACAGGCCUGUGUUUACAGAAUACAUAAGGGGCCUGGAGUGGCUGGGUGAGCAGGUGGUGGUCGGGGUGGGUGUGAGCUUCCAGGAAGCAGCUGGCCAGUGAGGCCCCCCACUCUGGGGUCCAAGGGAGAGGCCCCAGGACUGGGACUGCGCUCUGAGCAAACAGGAGGGAGGAGGCCUUCUCUGCCUGUGUGCCAGCCAACCCCAAGCCCUGCCUGAGAGACCGCCAUCGUUUGCAGAGGUGCUUCCUGUUAACAUUUACCUUGGCUGAUGUUUAUUAAUCGAGUCUAUUAAUAGACUCUUUUUGGCCCUUCCUAAAGAAUAACUUCUAGAAGCAGCACGUCUCCCCUGUUACCCCCUGCCACGCACAGGCUUCAGAUGUUUAAAUUGCUUUUCCAUCUCUCAUCUCUUGAUCUAUUCAUUUAUUCGUCCAUAAGAGACACCCCAUUUACUGAGCAGGGAACAAGACAGAUUCAGUUCCUAACCUCACAAAGCAUAUAUUUUGUUUGUUUGUUUGUUUGUUUGGGGCCAUGUCUGCUGCAUACGGAAGUUUCCGGGUCAGGAUAAAACCUGCGCUAAAGCAGUGACCCAAGGACAACAGAUCCUUAACCUGCUGCAUGACAAGAAAACUCCUACAGAGCAUAUAUUUUUAGGGCUACACCCACAGAAAAUGGAAGUUCCCAGGCCAGGGGAUGAAUUGAUUGGAGCUACAGCUGCCAGCCUAUGCCAUAGCCACAGCCACAUCAGAUGUGAGCUGCAUCCAUGUCCUGUGCCACAGCUCACAACAAUUCCAGAUCCUCCACCCAUUGAGCAGGGCCAGGGAUGGAACCGAUGUCCUCAUGGACUAGUCAGGUUCGUUACUGCCGAGCCACAACAAGAACUCCCAAAGCAUAUAUUUUUGAUGAGAGAAAAAUCUGGAGGGCCUUGGAGGCUCAUUUUGUUCCUACUUUUGGUAGCUUAGCAGAAAGCUGGCCUGGCUGGACCAGGCCAGUGUGGGGGCAAUAGCCGAAUCCAGCUGUGGUGGAUCCCCAUGUUCCUGGGUGCUGACACUCUUCCAGGCUCUUCCUCGUCCUCUGGGUGCAGCCCUGGGCCUUGGCAAGCAAACCCCUAGGGGCUCGAACGCCAGGAUAUCCCCUGACAUACUUCUUGUAACUUAGAGAAAUUACCCAUUCCCUCUCCCCUCUUAGAUCAAGAGUGUUGCGUGGGUCCUUUUCCUGGGCAAUAGCUGCACGUCUGGCGGGCUGGCUGGGGCAGGCUGCUCUGCUGGAGCCCUGGCCAUGCAGAGGACACGCCUGCCAGGUUGCGAAUCUAUGCUGAGGAUGAUGAGAGUUCAGGGGACCUCGGACACACUCCUACUUCUCUGCUUCUGAGUUUCCCCCAGGGAUUUCCACCUGCACCUCCGGCUGUUAGUGCUGUGUCCCAGCUCCCUUGCCUGACAAUGCCAGUGGAAGGAGAUGGGGAAAAAGGAAAGACUCCACAUUCUUGUCGGUGUUAUAAAGGACAUGGCCCAGUGCCAUGGAAACAACUUAGGACUUGGACCAGGGCAGUCAGAGGCUGGGUUCUCUGGAGGCGGGAAUGGAGGGGCAGCUCAGCACACAGGUGUUUACUGGGGAGGGUUCCGAGAUCAACCCCUGCGGAUGGGCAGGUAGGAAGGGGGUUGUCCAGGGUUGGUUGGAGAUGGCUACAAGGAGGUCUUUGGUUCUCCCCGCCAUCAGUCGCUGGUCAGUCACUGGAUGCGGGCAGCCCGGAGGGGGUGACGGCUGAAGGGCCAAGGCUGCCUGCAGACAGAACUCCAGACCCGGAGCACCACAUCUUUCACUGCGGGGCAGUCUGCGUGGGGAAUGUUCUGCCCACCACGAGGCACUUGAGGAAGACUUCCAGGAGGAAGGGGCCUUUCGCUUUGGGGAUGCGGGAGUGGGCACGGAUGUGAAGAAAGGGUCAGUGUGUAAGCAGACCCAAAGGCAAGAUGGAAACCACACUCUCAAGGAGAUACACGACCCAAGAAGAAAGAUCCUUUUUCAGAUAAGAAACAACCUCAGGGAGGCUCAGGGGAACUCCUCUGAGAUGAGGGAGCCUCGGUUAGAUCCGCAGCUGUGGAUUCCGAGUCCAGAGUCCUUCCGCACCCACCAUCCCCUGCCCCAUUUGAAGAGCAGUUCCUGGUCGCUCCCUUCCCUUCUUUGAGAGGCCACAUCCUCUCCCCUCUCCCGCUCCCAGCCUCCGCGCACACAGUUCUCACAACUCUGCACAGUGAGGCACUGAUGCUCCUUCCAGGUCCAGCACAAAUUCUGCCAUUUGAAGGGCUCCUGGGCUCCCACUAAGUUUACCGUUCAGGUCAAGGGUUGGUUUGUUGUUUGGAAAGUAGAGGUCAGUCUGUGGCCAAGGUGACAGUUCAGCCAAGGAGGAGGUCAGACUGAAAUUAGAGCCCGAAGGUGACUGACUUGCAGACCAGAGUCAGGUUGGUUGGGGGCUAGGUUUAGAGUUUAGUCUAUAGAAGGGCUCAGGCAAGAACCAGGGGCAGGGGAUGAUCUGAAAUUUGAACAGAGCUCAGCCUGGAACUGGGGUCAGAGAAUGCCCUAGGGCUCUGUUUUAGAACAAGGCCAGGGGUCAGCCUGGAACCAGGAUCGGGGCUUGGAGUGGAGCUGGGGGCAAGUCUCAGGCUAGGGACAAAUUUGGAGCUUAGCCUGAGCCAGAGUCAAGGUUAAGCCUUCAGCUGGGGCUCAGGGAUGUGAGUCUAGAUCUGAGAAGGGAUGGACGACUGUCAAGGCUCUGGCAUCCCAGCCCCUCGGGCCUGGAGAUUGAGCUGCGCCCAGGCGGGAGCAGGCAGGAAAAACUCAGUGAAGCAGACACAGUUCAAACUGUCCCCCGCUGCAGUGCUGGCCUCCAGAUCCCCUAAUAACCCCCUCCCAGCCCAAGCAUGCAUGCGCGAGUGCGAGCGCGCGCGCGCGCGCGCACACACACACACACACACACACACACACACACACACACACAACGGUGUGUGGGACACAAUGAUCUGGUUACGAGACCUUUGGAAAUGCUGAGACACUGCUGGAGGCUGAUGUCUGCAGGGAGUGGUCUGCACAGAUCAGAAGGGCCCCGGGGAGAUCUGAGUCACUCCAGGCAGCCCAGGGAUGGGUGCGGGGAGGGGGGUGGCUCGCCGCUGUUCCUAAGCCUGACUAUCAUGAGAGCUUCCGUGCCCCUAGUCUUCAGAAAUCUGGGCCUCUGCAUCGACUGCCCACCAUGAGUUGCCCAGGACUGGCCCUGCCCAGACCCCCAAGUAGACAGUAGCCAAGUGUCGAGCAAAGAGCACUGGGCAGAGUGUUGGGGGCCUGGGCCUUACUGCCUUGCCUCUCCUCUCCUAACCAUCUAUAAAAUGGGAAUAAACUGACAAUCAGAGAGGGCAGGCACUGACCCUGGGUCGCACAGCUCAGUGAGGGACAGCAUGGGGACCAAAGUACUCUGGGCUUACUCCCUUGCCAAUACGGCCUCCUUUGUCCCCAGAACUGAUCCCACGUGGCCCAUGUCCCACCCUAGGCAGGCUCCCAGGGAAAGGUUGGAGAAGAAAAGAGGAGGGUGGGGAUGGGGUGGGGACAGGAGAGACCCCCCAGCUUAGGUCCGCACAGAAGCUCAGAGGCCAGGCCUGUGUGUCCAGCCCUGCACCCAGAUUCAAAUCCCAGCUUCCCCACAUACCUACUGUGUGAUCUCAGACACGUUCCCUCCCUUCUCUGAGCAGCUGCAAACCUUCAGGUGUAAAAGAGAUAACAGUCAUUUCCUCUUGUAAUUAUCAGGCAAGAAGGGCUGUAAAGGGUGGGUGGGCUCUAAAUGCUGAUGCUCCUGCCGCUGGGGCAGCCCAGCCUCAUGCUUGGUCACCGCUGUCUCAGUGUCACUGCCUUUCUGUCUCCCCACCUGCCACACUCCUUUCUGUCUUGGCUUAGACUCUCCUCUGGGCCUGUGAAAGUCACCUCCUCCAGGCAGCCCACGAGGGACCAGAGUGUUCUCUGUACUCCUUUGCAGCACUUGUCUCGACUGUCCCAUGAGGGGUGGGUUGGAGCUGUGAUAGGAUAUUGGCAGGGGUGUCUCCAUUGGCACAGGAAUGGGCCAACGGGGAUGCAGAGCUCGGGUGAUUAAUUGCUGAGCACUCACGUUCUAAAGAGAGGCCUCACCAGCUGGGGCCACAAGGCCCCUCUAGGGCUUGCCAGGAAGACCAGAUUGCCCUCCCACAGUGAGUGCCACUGCCCUGCUUCCGGGGAUUGGGCUGAGGAGAAGGAUUCCGUGGGGAUGUGAAGCCUCAGCUUCAUAUGGACGCUGUGGAUUUUCUCUCCCUUUCCACCCACCCAAGCCCCUGGGAGGCACCAGGGAAAACACGGGUUAAAGUUCCCUCCCCUUUAGGAGGGGGUUGGCGCCUCCCGCUGGGAACCCGUGCUGGUGGGGCACUUUUCUGGUCGGGGCCCAUCUGUUGGGGUUGGGGGUGGAGAGGCAGUGAAGUGGCAGUGGUGGGAGCGACUGGCCCUGGGACAGCCUGCAUGCCUGCCAUUGGCUGAGGGUCCGCAGACGGCACAGAACAGAGCAGAGCUCUGCCAUCUUGGAUACCCAUCCGGGAAGGCACCCCCCCACCCCAGGGGUCCCGAGACAGGAACCGUGGGGCAGCCUAGUGUGGGCGGGAGCUGGGAGGGGAGGAGGGAAGAGGUUGCGGAGGAACCUGAUACCCACGUCAGGGGACCGUGGGGACCAGGGCUCCCUCAGGACCCAGAGAGUGCGCACAUGUGCCUGUGGGCCACAUCGGCAGGACCAGUGCAUGGGAAGGAGCCCAGCUGUGGGUGGAUAAGAAGGAAAUGUUGCCUGUUGAGCCCUGAGUCCCUCAGCCCCUACUCCAGGGAGGCCACAACUUACAAAUGGAAAAGGAAUGGCUGACACCAGCUACAACAUGGGCGGACAUUGAAAGCACUAUGCACAGAAAAAAGCCAGGAGUUCCCAUCGUGGCGCAGGGGAAAUGAAUCCAACUAGGAACCAUGAGGUUGCAGGUUCGAUCCCUGGCCUUGCUCAGUGGGUUAAGGAUCUGGUGUUGCCGUGAGCUGUGGUGUAGGUCAAAGAUGUGGCUCAGAUCUGGCAUGGCUGUGGCUGUGGUAUGGGCCUGUGGCUAUAGCUCCGAUUGGACUCCUAGCUUGAGAACCUCCAUAUGCCAUGGAUGCAGCCCUAAAAUGCAAAAAAAGGAAAAAAAAAAAAAAAAGAAAGAAAGAAAAAAGCCAGACACAGAAGGCCAUGUAUGGUAUGACUCCAUUUAUAGGAACUGUCCAGAAACAGCAAAUCCAUAAAGAUAAAAUAUGGAUUGGUGGUUGGCUAGGGUGGAGAGCUGGUCGCAGAGGGUGGGGUAAGGGGUGUCGAAUGGAAGGGAAUUUCCCUUUGGGAUGAUGAAAUGUUUUCGAUUUGCUUGAAAUCUUGGUUGCACAACCCUAUGACUGUACUAGAAACCAUUAACGUGCACAUUUUAGAUGGGCGAGUUGUAUGCUAUGCGAACUAUAUCUCAACACAGCUGUCAUUAUAAAGUGACGGGGAUUUAGUUUGGGAUGAUAAAAAAGUUCUGGAGAUGGACAGUGGUGAUGGCUGCACAACAAUGUGAAUGCACGUAAUGCCGCCGAGCUGUACAUUUAAAAACGGUUAAAAUGGUAGAUUUUAUGUUAUGUAUAUUUUACUAUAUUUUACCGUAAUUUUUUAAAAUUAAAAAAAAUUGGGAGUUCCCGUUGUGGCGCAGUGGUUAACGAAUCCGACUAGGAACCAUGAGGUUGUGGGUUUGAUCCCUAGGUUUGCUCAGUGGGUUAAGGAUUGGGCAUUGCCGUGAGCUGUGGUGUAGGUUGCAGAAGCAGCUCAGAACCCGAGUUGCUGUGGCUCUGGCGUAGGCCGGUAGCUAGAGCUCCGAUUAGACCCCUAACCUGGGAACCUCCAUAUGCCAUGGGACUGGCCCUAGAAAAGGC
Molecule: long non-coding RNA, 6400 nt
Filed under: Sus scrofa (pig)
Lineage: Eukaryota; Metazoa; Chordata; Mammalia; Artiodactyla; Suidae
Description: lncRNA (ENSSSCG00000062148.1)
Source: RNAcentral